CCAAAGGCAAAAGAGGGGCAGAGGAGAGGAAAGGUAAAAAAGAGAAGCAGCAGAGAGGAGGCUGGAGGCACCCAGAAAAGAUCCAGAGGCUUAACACUGUUCCUCUGUUUCAAAGGAGUCAGCAUGAAUGCGGUGGGGGAGAAGGAAGCAUUGUUCCAGGAGGAAAACAGUGAUGUUUUUGUUUCCAGAGCUCUUGCAACAACUAAGCCUGUUUUCUUGCUUUGCUCAAAUGGGAGGGAGAAGUGAAGAGGAGCGAACUGGAAGAAGGGAAUGCCACUCUCCUAAUGACCCAGCUCAGGAGGUGCUAGGGGAGGAUGGAGGAAGUGAAUGACCCAGCUCAGGAGGUGCUAGGGGAGGAUGGAGGAAGUGAAUGACCCAGCUCAGGACGUGGUGAGGGAGGAUGGAGGAAGUGCUUCCCUUUAAAUGCUUCCCCUUUGCGGGGGCUCACCUAAGGCCCAGGGAGGGCCACGACUCUCAUGUGGGGCAGGCCCCACCAGCACCUCCCUCCAUCCUGCCCCCUGUCCUUCCCCUCCGUCAUCUAGAGCCAGCCUCUGCCAGCACAGCUCAGAGUCGCAUUCUCUGCUAGGCCGCCAGCCCGACUCUACAGAAUGCACACCUGGAGCCAUAUGGAAUCUCAGGAACCUGCAAGGCUUCCCUCCCACUACGCGGACUAAGGGCAAGGCUCUCAGAAACGUGAGUUCCUGCAGCAGCGGGUGGG
Molecule: long non-coding RNA, 718 nt
Filed under: Homo sapiens (human)
Lineage: Eukaryota; Metazoa; Chordata; Mammalia; Primates; Hominidae
Description: HSALNT0132054
Source: RNAcentral